RNAcentral lists this ribosomal RNA (428 nucleotides) under uncultured bacterium. RNAcentral's name for it is "bacterial SSU rRNA". It matches the Rfam family "Bacterial small subunit ribosomal RNA", at positions 355 to 776 of the family's 1533-position model. The record is from RNAcentral.
UCGAGAAUCAUUCACAAUGGGGGAAACCCUGAUGGUGCGACGCCGCGUGGGGGAUGAAGGUCUUCGGAUUGUAAACCCCUGUCAUUUGUGAACAACCGUUUGAAUUUAAUAGAUUCAAACCUGAUAGUAGCAAAAGAGGAAGGGACGGCUAACUCAGUGCCAGCAGCCGCGGUAAUACUGAGGUCCCAAGCGUUGUUCGGAUUUACUGGGCGUAAAGGGUGCGUAGGUGGCCAGGAAAGUUUGAUGUGAAAGCCCCGAGCUCAACUCGGGAACUGCAUUGGAUACUACUUGGCUUGAGGAUCGGAGGGGAGACUGGAAUUCUCGGUGUAGCAGUGAAAUGCGUAGAUAUCGAGAGGAACACCAGUGGCGAAGGCGAGUCUCUGGACGAUUCCUGACACUGAGGCACGAAAGCUAGGGGAGCAAACAGG